RNAcentral lists this transfer RNA (72 nucleotides) under bacterium. RNAcentral describes it as "tRNA-Val". It matches the Rfam family "tRNA". From Rfam's summary of the family: Transfer RNA (tRNA) molecules are approximately 80 nucleotides in length. The record is from RNAcentral. RNAcentral also lists the same sequence under 1 other name.
GGGUGCUUAGCUCAGUGGUAGAGCGUCUGUUUUACACACAGAAGGUCGGGGGUUCGAUACCCUCAGCACCCA